This 496-nucleotide ribosomal RNA is filed under the name uncultured bacterium. RNAcentral's name for it is "partial 16S ribosomal RNA". It matches the Rfam family "Bacterial small subunit ribosomal RNA", at positions 28 to 507 of the family's 1533-position model. The record is from RNAcentral.
GAUGAACGCUGGCGGCGUGCCUAAUACAUGCAAGUCGAGCGAACAGACGAGGAGCUUGCUCCUCUGACGUUAGCGGCGGACGGGUGAGUAACACGUGGAUAACCUACCUAUAAGACUGGGAUAACUUCGGGAAACCGGAGCUAAUACCGGAUAAUAUAUGAACCGCAUGGUUCAAUAGUGAAAGACGGUUUUGCUGUCACUUAUAGAUGGAUCCGCGCCGCAUUAGCUAGUUGGUAAGGUAACGGCUUACCAAGGCAACGAUGCGUAGCCGACCUGAGAGGGUGAUCGGCCACACUGGAACUGAGACACGGUCCAGACUCCUACGGGAGGCAGCAGUAGGGAAUCUUCCGCAAUGGGCGAAAGCCUGACGGAGCAACGCCGCGUGAGUGAUGAAGGUCUUCGGAUCGUAAAACUCUGUUAUUAGGGAAGAACAAAUGUGUAAGUAACUAUGCACGUCUUGACGGUACCUAAUCAGAAAGCCACGGCUAACUACGUG